UGUUGGUGUAGUGGUAAGGGCUUGGGUAUUGUAGAUGCGAGGUCAUGGGUUCGAAACCCACUGGGAGCAA
Rhododendron griersonianum is the source of this 70-nucleotide non-coding RNA. Lineage: Eukaryota; Viridiplantae; Streptophyta; Magnoliopsida; Ericales; Ericaceae. The record is from the annotation of a GenBank genome assembly.